GACGAACGCUGGCGGCGUGCUUAACACAUGCCAGUCGUACGGUAAGGCCCUUUCGGGGGUACACGGGUGGCGAACGGGUGAGUAACACGUGAGUAACCUGCCCACAACUUUGGGAUAACGCUAGGAAACUGGUGCUAAUACUGGAUAUGUGCUCCUGCUGCAUGGUGGGGGUUGGAAAGCUCCGGCGGUUGUGGAUGGACUCGCGGCCUAUCAGCUUGUUGGUGGGGUAGUGGCCUACCAAGGCGGCGACGGGUAGCCGGCCUGAGAGGGUGACCGGCCACAUUGGGACUGAGAUACGGCCCAGACUCCUACGGGAGGCAGCAGUGGGGAAUAUUGCACAAUGGGCGCAAGCCUGAUGCAGCAACGCCGCGUGCGGGAUGACGGCCUUCGGGUUGUAAACCGCUUUCAGCAGGGACGAAGCUUUUUGUGACGGUACCUGCAGAAGAAGCACCGGCUAACUACGUG
RNAcentral lists this ribosomal RNA (465 nucleotides) under uncultured bacterium. Its description in RNAcentral is "partial 16S ribosomal RNA". It matches the Rfam family "Bacterial small subunit ribosomal RNA", at positions 28 to 507 of the family's 1533-position model. The record is from RNAcentral.